This 245-nucleotide ribosomal RNA is filed under the name uncultured bacterium. Its description in RNAcentral is "partial 16S ribosomal RNA". It matches the Rfam family "Bacterial small subunit ribosomal RNA", at positions 82 to 339 of the family's 1533-position model. The record is from RNAcentral.
UUUUUAAGUUUUAGUAGCGGACGGGUGAGUAACGCGUGAGAAUCUACCUUUAGGAUGGGAACAACAGUUAGAAAUGAUUGCUAAUGCCCAAUAUGCUUUCUUAAGUGAAAUGAAUUAUAUUCGCCUGAAGAAGAGCUCGCGUCUGAUUAGCUAGUUGGUAAGGUAAUGGCUUACCAAGGCGACGAUCAGUAGCUGGUCUGAGAGGAUGAUCAGCCACACUGGGACUGAGACACGGCCCAGACUCC